AUUGAACGCUGGCGGCAGGUCUAACACAUGCAAGUCGAGCGGAGCGGCGGACGGGUGAGUAAUGCCUAGGAAUCUGCCUGGUAGUGGGGGAUAACGUCCGGAAACGGGUGCUAAUACCGCAUACUAUCAGAUGAGCCUAGGUCGGAUUAGCUAGUUGGUGGGGUAAAGGCCUACCAAGGCGACCAUCCGUAACUGGUUUGAGAGGAUGAUCAGUCACACUGGAACUGAGAAACGGUCCAGACUCCUACGUGAGGCAGCAGUGGGGAAUGUUGGACAAUGGGCGAAAGCCUGGUCCAGCCAUGCCGCGUGUUUGAAGAAGGUCUGCAGAUUGUAAAGCACUUUAAGUUGGGAGGCGUUACCAGCAGAAUAAGCACAGGCUAACUUCGUGCCAGCAGCCGCGGUAAUUC
This 407-nucleotide ribosomal RNA is filed under the name uncultured bacterium. Its description in RNAcentral is "partial 16S ribosomal RNA". It matches the Rfam family "Bacterial small subunit ribosomal RNA", at positions 30 to 526 of the family's 1533-position model. The record is from RNAcentral.